Molecule: long non-coding RNA, 2188 nt
Filed under: Salmo salar (Atlantic salmon)
Lineage: Eukaryota; Metazoa; Chordata; Actinopteri; Salmoniformes; Salmonidae
Description: lncRNA (ENSSSAG00000110956.1)
Source: RNAcentral
GAGAAAGAGAAAGAAAAGAGAGAGAGCUAAGAGAGAAAAGAGAGAGGCAGGGAGAGAUAGGGAGAGAGAUAGGAAGAACGAGAGCGAGAGAGACAGCGAGAGAGACAGGGAGAGAGAGAAGCAGGGAGAGGGAUAGGGAGAGAUGUGAGAAAGAGGAGCAAGAGAGACAGGGAGAAAGAGAGAGAGAGAGAGAGAAAGAGACAAAGAGAAAGGAGAGAGAGAAAAAUAAAGGACAGAGAUAAAAGAGAAGGAGAAGGAGACACAGGGAUAGUGAGAGAGAGCAGGACAAGAAGAGAGAGAGAUAUGGAGAGUGAUGGAGUGAGAAAACCAGAGAGAGCGAGAGAGGAGCGAGAGAGGAGCGAGAGAGAGAGAGAGAGAGAGAGAGAGAGAGAGAGAGAGAGAGAGAGAGAGAGAGAGAGGCCAGCCAGAUAGGUCCGGCCAGCCAGAUAGGACCAGUCAGGCAUCUUGAGACGACGUAGCCAGUCUCAAAAUAGUCCGAAUUAAUUGAAGAUAACUCCAGAAAUCUGUGCGGGAGCAGUAUGAUGAUGUGUUGAGCUCUGGCCAGCAGGCCUUCCUAUUGGAGGAGACAAAUCAGAGUCCAGACAUGUUCCAGACGUGUAGGUAGUCUGCCUCCAGCGGGGAAGGCCUCUGUCAGCCUGGACUAUGUGACGGACAAGUUGAAAGAUCUCAGUGGACACAGAGAGCUUAGUGACCUGGCAAGCAGCCUGUUGAGAACGAGCUGAGCUUCAGUCUCAAGCCUGCAGAGGACACUGGGACCUGAGCCCUAGGACCAUGCCUCAGGACUACCUGGUAUGAUGACUCCUUGCUGUCCCCAGUCCACCUGGCCGUGCUGCUGCUCCAGUUUCAACUGUUCUGCCUGCGGCUAUGGAACCCUGACCUGUUCACCGGACGUGCUUGUUGCACCCUCGACAACUACUAUGAUUAUUAUUAUUUGACCAUGCUGGUCAUUUAUGAACAUUUUAACAUCUUGACCAUGUUCUGUUAUAAUAUCCACCCUGCACAGCCAGAAGAGGACUGGCCACCCCUCAUAGCCUGGUUCCUCUCUAGGUUUCUUCCUAGGUUUUUGGCCUUUCUAGGGAGUUUUUCCUAGGGAGUUUUUCCUAGCCACCGUGCUUCUUUCACAUGCAUUGCUUGCUGUUUGGGGUUUUAGGCUGGGUUUCUGUACAGCACUUUGAGAUAUCAGCUGAUGUACGAAGGGCUAUAUAAAUAAAUUUGAUUUGAUUUGAUUUGAUUCAAAAUGUACACUGAAGAUGGAUGUGGAGGACCAAGCUGAUAUGGCUGUGUGAUGCUCAGCGUCAAAGUUUAGCACAAAGAGUAAGACACGUGAAAGUAACAGUAAGCACUGUCUAAAUGUUUUUACAAAUAUUAUUAUUAUUGUUGGGAAGGGCCUGUAAGUAAGCAUUUCACUGUUAGUCUACAGCUGUUUAGGAAGCAUGUGUAAAUUAAAAUGUUAUUUGAAAUGAAGUCUGUUUGGUUUAGAAAGAAAUUCAAAUCAAAUCAAAUGUGUCAUAUACUCUGAAAACCGUGACAUGCUUACUUACAACAAAGAAAAUAGAGUUAGGAAAAUAUUUACUAAAUAAACAAAAGUUUUGAAAAAAGUUACAAUAACAAGGCUAUAUACAGGAAGUACCGGUACAGAGUCAAUGUGCGAGUACAGGUUAGUCGAGGUAAUUUGUACAUGUAGGUAGGGGUAAAGUGACUAUGCAUAGAUGAUAAACAGCGAGCAGCAGCAGUGUAAAAACAAAGGGGGGGUGUCAUUGGCAAAUAGUCCGGGUGGCCAUUUGAUUAAUUGUUCAGCAGUCUUACGGCUUGGGGGUAGAAGCUGUUAAGGAGCCUUUUGGACCUAGACUUGGUGCUCCGGUACUGCUUGCCAUGUGGCAGCAGAGAGAACAGUCUAUGUGUUGCCGCUUUGCUUGUUUGAUGGUUCGUCUGAGGGCAUAGCGGGAUUUCUUAUAAGCAUCCGGAAUAGUGCCCCACUCCUUGAAAGCGGCUGAUCUAGCCUUUAGCUCAGUGUGGAUGUUGACUGGCAGGUUACCAGGAGGAGAGAAUGCCAAGAGUGUGCAAAGCUGUCAUCAAGGCAAAGGGUGGCUACUUUGAAGAGUCUCAAAUAUAAAAUAUAUUUAGAUUUGUUUAACACUUUUUUGCUUACCACAUGAUUCCAUAUGUG